Molecule: ribosomal RNA, 491 nt
Filed under: uncultured bacterium
Lineage: Bacteria
Description: partial 16S ribosomal RNA
Rfam family: Bacterial small subunit ribosomal RNA
Source: RNAcentral
GAUGAACGCUGGCUACAGGCUUAACACAUGCAAGUCGAGGGGAAACGACGGGGAAGCUUGCUUCCCCGGGCGUCGACCGGCGCACGGGUGAGUAACGCGUAUCCAACCUGCCUCUGACUGAGGGAUAACCCGUCGAAAGUCGGCCUAAUACCUCAUGGCAUCGUCUGCGGGCAUCCAACGACGAUUAAAGAUUUCAUCGGUCAGGGAUGGGGAUGCGUCUGAUUAGCUUGUUGGCGGGGUAACGGCCCACCAAGGCUACGAUCAGUAGGGGUUCUGAGAGGAAGGUCCCCCACAUUGGAACUGAGACACGGUCCAAACUCCUACGGGAGGCAGCAGUGAGGAAUAUUGGUCAAUGGGCGGGAGCCUGAACCAGCCAAGUAGCGUGCAGGAUGACGGCCCUAUGGGUGGUAAACUGCUUUUAGGCGGGGAUAAAGUGAGGGACGUGUCCUUCAUUGCAGGUACCGCAUGAAUAAGGACCGGCUAAUUCCGUG